RNAcentral lists this transfer RNA (94 nucleotides) under Actinomycetes bacterium. RNAcentral's name for it is "tRNA-Ser". It matches the Rfam family "tRNA". From Rfam's summary of the family: Transfer RNA (tRNA) molecules are approximately 80 nucleotides in length. Their secondary structure includes four short double-helical elements and three loops (D, anti-codon, and T loops). The record is from RNAcentral. Lineage: Bacteria; Bacillati; Actinomycetota; Actinomycetes.
GGAGAGUUGGCCGAGUCGGUUGAAGGCGCUCGCCUGCUAAGCGAGUAACGGGCUUGAAGCUCGUUCGAGGGUUCGAAUCCCUCACUCUCCGCCA